GCAGGAUAGCUCAGUUAGUAGAGCGUGAGACUCAAACUCAGGGUCAUGGGUUCAAGCCCCACAAGGGGCA
Non-coding RNA from Podarcis lilfordi (Lilford's wall lizard), 70 nucleotides. The record is from the annotation of a GenBank genome assembly. Lineage: Eukaryota; Metazoa; Chordata; Lepidosauria; Squamata; Lacertidae.